UUAAAUUGAAGAGUUUGAUCAUGGCUCAGAUUGAACGCUGGCGGCAGGCCUAACACAUGCAAGUCGAGCGGAAACGAG
This 78-nucleotide ribosomal RNA is filed under the name Vibrio alginolyticus. RNAcentral's name for it is "partial 16S ribosomal RNA". It matches the Rfam family "Bacterial small subunit ribosomal RNA", at positions 1 to 76 of the family's 1533-position model. The record is from RNAcentral. Lineage: Bacteria; Pseudomonadati; Pseudomonadota; Gammaproteobacteria; Vibrionales; Vibrionaceae. RNAcentral also lists the same sequence under 5 other names.